This 108-nucleotide non-coding RNA is filed under the name Oleidesulfovibrio alaskensis. RNAcentral describes it as "Desulfovibrio alaskensis SAM-I sequence". It matches the Rfam family "SAM riboswitch aptamer (S box leader)". Rfam says of the family: The SAM riboswitch is found upstream of a number of genes which code for proteins involved in methionine or cysteine biosynthesis in Gram-positive bacteria. RNAcentral also lists the same sequence under 1 other name. The record is from RNAcentral. Lineage: Bacteria; Pseudomonadati; Thermodesulfobacteriota; Desulfovibrionia; Desulfovibrionales; Desulfovibrionaceae.
AACUCAUGAAGAGGACGAGAGGGGUCUGGCCCGAUGACCGUCCGGCAACCUGCCCGCAAGGCAAGGUGCCAAAGCCAGCCACGGUGAGAUGCCGCGGUGCCAUGAGGU